CAGGGAAUUGUGUCACUCCCAUUGAGCAGCUGUGGGGCCCUCUCCCACAUGGCCCAGGUCCACCACUCUGUCAAAGGUCGCACAGCCCAGACAAAAACAGGACACAGCAGUGUGUGAAUGAGCCGGGCUUUCUCCUUCCCUCCACGUAAUAGAAGGUGCCUGAGGUUGUUGAAACACAGUCCAUUUCUCCUGGGAAUGACAAGAAUUUGAGGGAUGCUGACUUUCAAGGAAUACUGCAUGACAGGCAUCAAGAUAAACCUGAUGAAGAAAACAUAGGCCAGAAUCUGGGAAUCGGGAGCAAAGUAAUACAGCUUCGGGGACAGGCACGUAAUGAGGUCAUGAUGUAGGAGACUCCCUGCAGGACUGGCGGCCCCUGUUCCCUGGGUUGUUCUGGCUCUUUCAGAACCUGACCCUGGAACAGGACUGAGCAGGUGCCUGUGUGCACAGAAGACCUUGUGUGAGUCCUUUGGUACCACGUUUGCUGCACGAAUGUCUGAGACACCUCACAGUCGCUUGGUUCAGCCUCUCCCUCCUCUCUCCGCUGGGGAACAUCAUCCCUCAUCACUGGAAGAAAUUACAAGGAUUGUGUAAACAAUUACAAGUAUUCUACAAACAGUGAGCAUGCUGGUUUGGCCCAUCUAUUUGUAAGAAAAAACAUGGGGUUUUAUGGCAAUGAGUUACAGCUCUGAACUCCUGGCACAAUCACAAAUAUCCUCAGCACAAAACACCAAGUGUAUGUCUCCCUUCUGUCCUAAAAGGGUAGUGUGUGCAACUCAUUGAUGGGGCUCCCAUUUCAUUUUUGAAAGAUCUGCUCACUGAUAAUACCAGUGAGAUUGUUUUCACCAAGAUCUAUGACAUACAAAUAAACUGUUGCUUCAAAAGCAUCUAGCGGCCAAUUGCUGAUCAUCCAAGUGACAAAAAGCUAACUACUUCAUUCCUAAUUAUUACUGCACACUGCUCACAAGCAUCUCUCAAUCCGUUACCAAUUUUAUCCUUGACUCCUGAUGAAACACAAAUCUCUUUGAUCAGGUUAUCACAUGGCAUAGGUGCAAUGGUGGUUGCUUCAGGGGAAAUAAUUUAAUUCAAGUACUUUGCAGUUUGCUAGGUGCCCUGGGGCAUAGUAUUCUUUGGGCCUCCUAAGGUUCUGAUGGUGAUGAACUGAUUUAACGUAUAGAAUAGUUUUUAAAUGUGAAGUGCUACAGGGACCACUAUGCAGGGAGCUGAAGGGCUAUUGAGCUGGACACUUGAGCAUUGGCUGCAUUGAAUGAUAAAUAUUGCACAAUAUUUCUCUUCCUCAAAAUAGAAAAUGACAAUGGAAAACUUUUAAUAAUGUCAACAUUGGUGACUAGAAAUACAUAUGUGCCUCCUUAUGAAAGCAGGGGUGGUGACUGAAUAGAAUUGUUUUGUUUUUAGAGAACGAUGUUUUUCUUUUUGUUUUUUCUUCUUUUAUAGUAUUUUACUUAAAAAUCCAAGUAAUAGUAUUCUACUGUAUUGCCUUGAAGAAGUAAAUUGAGAAAAGUCAGAACACUUAUGUAUUUUUAUUUAAAAACGAACGUUUUAGUCAGCACCCAAUGCAACAAAAGCAAACUAGAAAUUGCAUGUCAGCAAUAAAAUAACCAGGUUCUUAGAAGGGCGGCCUAAGUCAGCUCUACAGAUUCUCACCUUUGCUGAUUUAGCCGCAUGGAACCUAAUUAAUGGGUAGAUUAUACAUUUGCUCAACAAGUAUUAAUGGAGGUACUUGAAUGAACUGACAGGGCCCAGCCUUAUGCAGUGGUCCUCAAAGGCUUGUUCAUAUCUUGAUUUGGACAUCAAAAGAGAAGGCCGUCGCAGGAAAUCGGAGACCUUGAGCCUUUACAUGUCCACCUCAGAGACUAGACGUAACUGCCUGCUAGAAAUAGUGGCGUGAGGAAUGCGAAAGGGAGAAGUUGUUUGAAGGAUCUCAGACUCCAUGCCGUGUACUUUGAAGAUGAGCUUUAGAAAUUGCACAUCAAUAGUUACUGCAGAAGGAGCAAUAGGAACUGAGAACAUCUCACGCGGCUUAGUGCGACCGAUAAACACCAGCUGAAGCUUGUGUCCUGCACAAUAAACCUUAUUUGCUGAUCUCUGAAGGUGCAAAGCAGGGCACUACUGCUCAGCAGCCUCUGAUGACGAUUUAUAUGUUAACAAGCUGAAUUCCUGCUUCAUCUGGAGGACUGCACAGUGUAUCUGAGAGAGGAUUUUCAGGAGGCCAGAAAAUCAAGCUGGAGGGAUUUUCAGCGUGUUGGGAGAUUGCUACCUGUUUUAAGUCAGGCCAUUGCCACGUCUUUUUCCCCACCUUGGAGACUUCAGCUGUUUUCCUUCACUAAUAUUUCCAAAACACACAACAACAGUUGGCAUCGCUCGCAUAUAAACAGCUCUUCCAUGUCACUGAGAAAACGAGCAAGAUCCAGGGAGGAAAAAUGGAUACAGGAUAUAAAUAGAAAAUCCUCAAAACAGGAAUUUCAAAAUGUCAACAAACAGGCAAAACUUUCUUUCAACAGCGCUAUUAUGACUGGUAUGUUUCACUUGCUUUUUUUUUUUUUUUCU
RNAcentral lists this long non-coding RNA (2565 nucleotides) under Homo sapiens (human). Its description in RNAcentral is "HSALNT0355868". The record is from RNAcentral. Lineage: Eukaryota; Metazoa; Chordata; Mammalia; Primates; Hominidae.